GCCUGGGUGGCUCAGUCGGUUGAGCAUCCGACUUCGGCUCAGGUCACGAUCUCGCGGUCCGUGAGUUCGAGCCCCGCGUCAGGCU
Molecule: non-coding RNA, 85 nt
Organism: Felis catus (domestic cat)
Lineage: Eukaryota; Metazoa; Chordata; Mammalia; Carnivora; Felidae
Source: Rfam